Molecule: ribosomal RNA, 460 nt
Filed under: uncultured bacterium
Lineage: Bacteria
Description: partial 16S ribosomal RNA
Rfam family: Bacterial small subunit ribosomal RNA
Source: RNAcentral
CCUACGGGUGGCAGCAGUGAGGAAUAUUGGUCAAUGGACGAGAGUCUGAACCAGCCAAGUAGCGUGAAGGAUGACUGCCCUAUGGGUUGUAAACUUCUUUUAUAUGGGAAUAAAACGUUCCACGUGUGGGAUUUUGUAUGUACCAUAUGAAUAAGGAUCGGCUAACUCCGUGCCAGCAGCCGCGGUAAUACGGAGGAUCCGAGCGUUAUCCGGAUUUAUUGGGUUUAAAGGGAGCGUAGGUGGAUUGUUAAGUCAGUUGUGAAAGUUUGCGGCUCAACCGUAAAAUUGCAGUUGAAACUGGCAGUCUUGAGUACAGUAGAGGUGGGCGGAAUUCGUGGUGUAGCGGUGAAAUGCUUAGAGAUCACGAAGAACUCCGAUUGCGAAGGCAGUUCACUAGACUGCAACUGACACUGAGGCUCGAAAGUGUGGGUAUCAAACAGGAUUAGAUACCCUUGUAGUC